This 402-nucleotide ribosomal RNA is filed under the name Enterobacter sp. 164(2012). Its description in RNAcentral is "bacterial SSU rRNA". It matches the Rfam family "Bacterial small subunit ribosomal RNA", at positions 989 to 1393 of the family's 1533-position model. Lineage: Bacteria; Pseudomonadati; Pseudomonadota; Gammaproteobacteria; Enterobacterales; Enterobacteriaceae. The record is from RNAcentral.
CYCWGUCUUUCMGAGAUGGAUUGGUGCCUUCGGGAACUCUGAGACAGGUGCUGCAUGGCUGUCGUCAGCUCGUGAUGKGAAAUGUUGGGUUAAGUCCCGCAACGAGCGCAACCCUUAUCCUUUGUUGCCAGCGGUYCGGCCGGGAACUCAAAGGAGACUGCCAGUGAUAAACUGGAGGAAGGUGGGGAUGACGUCAAGUCAUCAUGGCCCUUACGAGUAGGGCUACACACGUGCUACAAUGGCGCAUACAAAGAGAAGCGACCUCGCGAGAGCAAGCGGACCUCAUAAAGUGCGUCGUAGUCCGGAUUGGAGUCUGCAACUCGACUCCAUGAAGUCGGAAUCGCUAGUAAUCGUAGAUCAGAAUGCUACGGUGAAUACGUUCCCGGGUCUUGUACACACCGA